RNAcentral lists this ribosomal RNA (1221 nucleotides) under Triticum aestivum (bread wheat). Its description in RNAcentral is "partial small subunit ribosomal RNA". Lineage: Eukaryota; Viridiplantae; Streptophyta; Magnoliopsida; Poales; Poaceae. The record is from RNAcentral.
AUGAGCGCCUUGAUCAGGAAUCUCCGCCCCGCGCUGUCCGGGCUACUGCGGUCCAAGCCCGCUAUCCGAACGCCUCUUCCACUGCCGUCGUCGACCGCCCCGCGCCCGCGCUGCUACCACGCGCCGUCGACGCGGCGAUCUCACGAGGUCCUGCAAUCGGCCGGCCUUGGCCGCCUCUUCCAACGUGACUUUCUCGUGCGUCGACCACCGCCGUCGUCGCCGCAUGCGCCAGUGGUCCCACUCCCACGCCCACGGCACUACUCCUCCAGCCGGCCAAGAAGUUCCAGCGACGUGAAAUCCCAGAUAGUCUUCGCGGGGGUCGUCAUCAUCGUCGGCGGCGCGGUCACCAUCUGCUACGGCACCUUCGAGACCGUGCCCUACACCAACCGCCGCCACUUCGUCGUCCUCACGCACUCGGGAGAGCUCAAGCUCGGCGACUGGAUCUUCACCGGGGAGAAGAAGAAGCUGGGCGACAAGGUCCUCCCUCCGUCCCACCCUGCUUUUGUCCGUGUCCACGGCAUCGCCUCCGAGAUCAUCCGCGCCGCCGGACGCAGCCUCGCCGUCCACGAUGACGAUAAGCUCCUUGACGGCGAAAUAUGGGUCGGCGACGCGGCGCCGAGCCCCAAGAAGAAGGCUCGCUGGGGAGCGCCGCAGCAGCCGACGACCAAGCACCUCGACGGGUUCAAGUGGGAGGUGAUCGUCGUCAACAAUAAGCAGGUGAACGCCAUGUGCGCGCCCGGUGGCAAGAUCAUAGUCUACACCGGGCUGCUCGACAAGUUCAGCACCGACGCUGAGAUCGCCGCAGUGCUAGGGCACGAGGUUGCGCACGCCAUUGCAAGGCACACCGCAGAGGGGCUCACCAAGCACAUGUGGAUUCUCAUGCUCACGGUUUUCCUGGGCAUCUUUAUCGAUGAGCCAAAGAUGAUUGAUAAGCUCGCCAAAUACCUCCUCAGCCUGCCCUUCUCACGAAAGAUGGAGAUAGAGGCAGAUCACAUUGGAAUCCUGCUGCUCGCUGCCGCUGGUUUCGAUCCACGCAUAGCCCCUAAGGUCCACGAGAAGCUCGGAGAGCUCGGCGGGAAUUCAUCAUCGUUCAAGGAGUACAUGUCUACUCAUCCUUGCAGCAAGAAAAGAACGCGGCUUUUACUGGAUUCCAAGGUCAUGGACAAGGCCAUGGCGUUAUAUACAGAAGCAAGAGCGAGAAAAGAAGAAAUUGAUCAAUGA